CUCAUUGUGUUACAUGUUUUAGGAUAUUAACUUUGUAUUAAUUCUCUAACAUGUCUGACACAUACAUUGUUAUUGACCAACCUCAGAUAAGUAUGGCUUGUACAUAAUCCUACUUAUGACUGCUUAACAUAGUACUAAAUUGACCCACCAUAAUUAAUUGACCACUAACUCCUAACCUUACUUUAUGCACUUUACUUUAUUG
This 202-nucleotide long non-coding RNA is filed under the name Lathyrus oleraceus (garden pea). RNAcentral's name for it is "Pisum sativum (pea) long non-coding RNA (PSAT_LNC016401)". Lineage: Eukaryota; Viridiplantae; Streptophyta; Magnoliopsida; Fabales; Fabaceae. The record is from RNAcentral.